Molecule: ribosomal RNA, 491 nt
Filed under: uncultured bacterium
Lineage: Bacteria
Description: partial 16S ribosomal RNA
Rfam family: Bacterial small subunit ribosomal RNA
Source: RNAcentral
UGGGGAAUAUUGCACAAUGGGCGAAAGCCUGAUGCAGCAACGCCGCGUGAGUGAUGAAGGCCUUCGGGUUGUAAAGCUCUGUCUUUUGGGACGAUAAUGACGGUACCAAAGGAGGAAGCCACGGCUAACUACGUGCCAGCAGCCGCGGUAAUACGUAGGUGGCAAGCGUUGUCCGGAUUUUACUGGGCGUAAAGGAUGCGUAGGCGGAUUUUUAAGUGAGAUGUGAAAACCCUAAGCUUAACUUGGGGACUGCAUUUCAUACUGGAAAUCUAGAGUGCGGGAGAGGAGAAUGGAAUUCCUAGUGUAGCGGUGAAAUGCGUAGAGAUUAGGAAGAACACCAGUGGCGAAGGCGAUUCUCUGGACCGUAACUGACGCUGAGGCAUGAAAGCGUGGGUAGCAAACAGGAUUAGAUACCCUGGUAGUCCACGCCGUAAACGAUGAGUACUAGGUGUAGGAGGUAUCGACCCCCUUCUGUGCCGCAGUUAACACAA